ANUGAGGAAUAUUGCGCAAUGGGGGAAACCCUGACGCAGCGACGCCGCGUGGAUGAUGAAGGCCUUCGGGUCGUAAAAUCCUGUCAGAUGGAAAGAAAUGUAUAUUGGUUAAUACCCUUUAUAUUUGACGGUACCAUCAAAGGAAGCACCGGCUAACUCCGUGCCAGCAGCCGCGGUAAUACGGAGGGUGCAAGCGUUGUUCGGAAUUACUGGGCGUAAAGCGCGCGUAGGCGGCUAUUUAAGUCAGAUGUGAAAGUCCACGGCUCAACCGUGGAAGUGCAUUUGAAACUGGAUGGCUUGAGUACUGGAGGGGGUGGUGGAAUUCCCGGUGUAGAGGUGAAAUUCGUAGAUAUCGGGAGGAAUACCGGUGGCGAAGGCAGCUCACUAAGUAUACACUGACGCUGAUGGACGAAAGCGUGGGGAGCGAACAGGAUUAGAUACCCUGGUAGUCCACGCCGUAAACGAUGGUUACUAGUUGUUGGGGUUUACCUCAGUGACUAAGCGAAAGUGAUAAGUAACCCACCUGGGGAGUACGUUCGCAAGAAUGAAACUCAAAUGAAUUGACGGA
RNAcentral lists this ribosomal RNA (568 nucleotides) under uncultured bacterium. Its description in RNAcentral is "bacterial SSU rRNA". It matches the Rfam family "Bacterial small subunit ribosomal RNA", at positions 353 to 917 of the family's 1533-position model. The record is from RNAcentral.